AGGCCAAGCAAAGUAUGUCAGUAUCAAAAUACUUGCAUGCAGCACCUAAGAGGGCAAUAUGUGAAGCCAUGAAAAGGAAGCCAAAGCUACAGUGGAGACCCCUUAAAUUAAGAGAUGCCAGUAACAUGGACUGUCUUCUGAGGAAAGCUGCUGGCUGCAGAGACAACCAAACUGAAAGAGGCCACAUGUGCAUGACCAGCCAGGCCAAAGGGGCAAGGCUGCCAAAGCCCUUUGGAAAUCAUAUCUCCCCAUCAUGUGUCCCAAACGCCAGAGGUAGAGCCACAGGAAAUGUUUGCCUGGCUGGAUUUAAUUCUUGCCUUCAUUCUAUAAAUUCUUUCAAUACCCCUAUUCCUCUCUGUUGGAAAGUUUACUCUUCGCCAUUACAUAUUGGAUAUAUAUAACUUGCUUUUGAUCUUUAUAGGGGUUCAAAGCCAAGAGUUUGCCUUGAGUCUCAGAUGAGACUUUUCACUUGGACUUUUGGACAAUACUAGAACUGUUUAGACUAUAGGGACUAUAGAGAUGAACUAAAUGCAUUUUGUAUUGUGAGAUGAACAUGAACUUAGGGGGAUAAAAUAUUACACUUUGGAUUUGAGGUGUCCCCUCAAAGCUCCUGUGUUGAUACAGGAAUUUUCAAAUGCAAGAUGAUGGAUGUAAUCUAAUCAGACUAUCCCAGUUUGAAUGGACUAACUGGGUGGUAACUGUAGGCAGGUAGGACACCAUGUCCCACUAUUGGAAGAGGUAGGUCACUGAAGUUAUGCUCCGGAAGGGCUAUCUUCCCUGUGUUCCCUUCCCUUCUUUUUCUUACCUUCAUGGACACCAUGAAUGUAGCAGUAUUCCUCCACCAUGUCCUUCUGCCAUGAUGUUCUGCCUCACCUUGGGUCCAGGGCAGUGGAGUUGGCAACCAUGGACUAAACCUCUGAAACCAUGAGCCAAAAUAUAUUUUUUCCUCUUCUACGUUGUUCUUGUUGGGCAAUUUGGUCACAGCAAUGAAAAACUAACACAAAUAAAUAAAUGAAGUACAAAAAUAAAUAAAUAAAAGUCCAUAUGGAGGCAGCAGCAAUGGAAUUCCAAAAUUAAGCUAAGAUCUGAGUCUUAUAAUGAGACUAGGAAAAAAAUCUUAUGAAAUAGUCUUACCUAACAUAAUAAUGUAUAAAUUAAUGUAAGAAAUGUUUACUAAUCAUUUUCUCUGGUUUUCAUUGUAAAGGUAUUGGACAUAAAAUAAUGAACAGUUAAAAAAUUCUUCUUAGGAACUUAUUCUCAGGAGACAGUCUUUUCAAAUGAAUGUGACACACAAAUAAGACAAUAUCAGGUAGUGAUAAAUAUUAUGGAAGCAUUAAAACUAUGUCAUCAAGAGAGAUUUCCUUGACUACUAAGCUUUAGC
Molecule: long non-coding RNA, 1381 nt
Filed under: Marmota monax (woodchuck)
Lineage: Eukaryota; Metazoa; Chordata; Mammalia; Rodentia; Sciuridae
Source: RNAcentral